This 497-nucleotide ribosomal RNA is filed under the name uncultured bacterium. Its description in RNAcentral is "partial 16S ribosomal RNA". It matches the Rfam family "Bacterial small subunit ribosomal RNA", at positions 28 to 507 of the family's 1533-position model. The record is from RNAcentral.
GACGAACGCUGGCGGCGUGCCUAAUACAUGCAAGUCGAGCGGACGAAUCGAAAGCUUGCUUUUGAUUCGUUAGCGGCGGACGGGUGAGUAACACGUGGGCAACCUGCCCUGUAGACGGGGAUAACACCGAGAAAUCGGUGCUAAUACCGGAUAACACGAAAUGUCGCAUGACGUUUCGUUGAAAGACGGCGCAAGCUGUCGCUACAGGAUGGGCCCGCGGCGCAUUAGCUAGUUGGUGAGGUAACGGCUCACCAAGGCGACGAUGCGUAGCCGACCUGAGAGGGUGAUCGGCCACACUGGGACUGAGACACGGCCCAGACUCCUACGGGAGGCAGCAGUAGGGAAUCUUCCGCAAUGGACGAAAGUCUGACGGAGCAACGCCGCGUGAGCGAAGAGGGCCUUCGGGUCGUAAAGCUCUGUUGUUAGGGAAGAACAAGUAACGCAGUAACUGGCGUUACCGUGACGGUACCUACGAGAAAGCCACGGCUAACUACGUG